This 465-nucleotide ribosomal RNA is filed under the name uncultured bacterium. Its description in RNAcentral is "partial 16S ribosomal RNA". It matches the Rfam family "Bacterial small subunit ribosomal RNA", at positions 28 to 507 of the family's 1533-position model. The record is from RNAcentral.
GACGAACGCUGGCGGCGUGCUUAACACAUGCAAGUCGUACGGUAAGGCCCUUUCGGGGGUACACGAGUGGCGAACGGGUGAGUAACACGUGAGUAACCUGCCCACAACUUUGGGAUAACGCUAGGAAACUGGUGCUAAUACUGGAUAUGUGCUCCUGCUGCAUGGUGGGGGUUGGAAAGCUCCGGCGGUUGUGGAUGGACUCGCGGCCUAUCAGCUUGUUGGUGGGGUAGUGGCCUACCAAGGCGGCGACGGGUAGCCGGCCUGAGAGGGUGACCGGCCACAUUGGGACUGAGAUGCGGCCCAGACUCCUACGGGAGGCAGCAGUGGGGAAUAUUGCACAAUGGGCGCAAGCCUGAUGCAGCAACGCCGCGUGCGGGAGGACGGCCUUCGGGUUGUAAACCGCUUUCAGCAGGGACGAAGCUUUUUGUGACGGUACCUGCAGAAGAAGCACCGGCUAACUACGUG